GGGUAUGUAGCUCAGCUGGAUAGAGCACCGCCCUUCUAAGGCGGGGGUCGCAGGUUCGAAUCCUGCCAUACCCA
Molecule: transfer RNA, 74 nt
Filed under: Candidatus Aenigmatarchaeota archaeon
Lineage: Archaea; Nanobdellati; Candidatus Aenigmatarchaeota
Description: tRNA-Arg
Rfam family: tRNA
About the family: Transfer RNA (tRNA) molecules are approximately 80 nucleotides in length. Their secondary structure includes four short double-helical elements and three loops (D, anti-codon, and T loops). Further hydrogen bonds mediate the characteristic L-shaped molecular structure. tRNAs have two regions of fundamental functional importance: the anti-codon, which is responsible for specific mRNA codon recognition, and the 3' end, to which the tRNAs corresponding amino acid is attached (by aminoacyl-tRNA synthetases). tRNAs cope with the degeneracy of the genetic code in two manners: having more than one tRNA (with a specific anti-codon) for a particular amino acid; and 'wobble' base-pairing, i.e. permitting non-standard base-pairing at the 3rd anti-codon position.
Source: RNAcentral